This is a long non-coding RNA of Cyprinodon tularosa, 634 nucleotides long. RefSeq lists it as uncharacterized. The transcript is spliced from 5 exons. NCBI's taxonomy places the organism in Eukaryota, Metazoa, Chordata, Actinopteri, Cyprinodontiformes, Cyprinodontidae. The record is from RefSeq and is a predicted model, not a curated record.
AUCUGUCGGAAAGUGAGCGCUAUCAAUGUCGUUUUCCAUCUGUUCCUGUCAAUCAGGAAGCUCAGGGGCACGCCGCAGGGUUUGUGUGGCUCGGCCACUGUUCGAGGCUCAAAACAAAAACUUUUCCGACCCUCACAUCUGUGGGAGGAGUAGCAGCUGUGCUUCACUCUGCAUCAAACUUUCAUCCCAAUCCUCAGAGUUAGGAAGCCAGAACUGAAGCAAACAACGAAUAAAUAAAAGCAUGUCUUAUGAGUGUAUUCUGUCCAUUGAAAACUUGAACGAUGUUCCAAAUCCCUGGAAAGGAUUUACUAUGAACCGCUGCUUAUUGAUGGCUCUGGUUGUGCUGCUGGUGAGCUCAGGAGUACAGGAAGUUCAUGAGGGUCUGGAUUAUUUUGUGGAGGAGACGGGUAUCAGGUCCCUGGUUGACUGCCUCCAGACAGGGUCUCUUCCUCAGUUUUCCAUAUGGGACAGUGUGACCAGUUGGUGGGGAUCCGAAGAGCUUGGAGCAAUACGGAGAAGAAAAAAGCCAAUAGGCAGAAAAGUAAUUCUAAAACCGAAAGCUAAAGAGUGAAGCAUAAAAAAUGUUUUCUUUGAUGGAUUCACAGGAUUCCUGAAUAAAAAGUACAACCAAGUA